AAUAUUUCUCUCUCUCAAGCCGGUAGUCAUUGUUACAAUUAAGGAUGGAGCUCUUAGGUACAAGCAAGUCUUCUCGACACUGUUACAAGAAGGCAUUUUUUCCCCAUUUAUACUUGAGGAAAACAACCAAGGCUCAGAGAGGUAACAUCUUUUGUCCCAAAUCAAACAGCUGCUGCCAGCUGGUUGUGGCUAAGGAGAGACAUACAUGGCAGAGAACUGAUGUCUCCAGACAACAUCCAGCAAGGACUGAAGUCUGCCAACAGUUACAUGAGUGAGCCUGGAAGUGGAUCCUUCCGUAGUUGAGCCUUGAGAUGACCACAGCCUAGACCUCUGACUAUGUGAAGAUACGGUGGGAAGAUGACUGACCGCAAGACAGGAAGAGAGCCCUCACCGAGGAACCAAAUUGGCCAGUAUCUUGAUUUUGGAUUUCUCAACCUCAAGAACCAUGAGAAAUGAAUGUCUGCUGUUCAAGCCACCCAGUCAAUGAAGCAUCUAUCGAUCUUCAUUUGAAAUUAUGUGUCAGAAACUGCAAUAAUAGAAGUAAAGAGAAUGGGCUAGGUAAUGUAAGAAU
Homo sapiens (human) is the source of this 571-nucleotide long non-coding RNA. Ensembl annotates it as long intergenic non-protein coding RNA 1619. NCBI's taxonomy places the organism in Eukaryota, Metazoa, Chordata, Mammalia, Primates, Hominidae. The record is from Ensembl.